This 228-nucleotide unclassified non-coding RNA is filed under the name uncultured Lepiota. RNAcentral describes it as "sequence contains ITS1". The record is from RNAcentral. Lineage: Eukaryota; Fungi; Basidiomycota; Agaricomycetes; Agaricales; Agaricaceae.
UUGAAUGUUUCUCGAUGGGUUGUUGCUGGCCUUUAGUGGGCAUGUGCACGCCUGUCCUGACACUAUUCAUCCACCUGUGCACUCAUUGUAGUCUUUGUUGAAGCAUUAAGUAAAGCAGCUGAGCUGUGGAACUGCUUCCUUCAAAGGCUAUGUCUUUAUACAUCACACCAUGUAGUAUGUUGACCGAAUGUGUAUUCUAAUGGACCUCUGUGUCCAUAAAACUCUAUA